AAAAAAAGUGUUAAUCCUAGAGGGACCUGGCACCCAGACCACUUCAUUAAGCUGAAGUGGUCUGGGUGCCUAGAGUGGUCCUUUAACAUGCUAUGUGGAAAAAUGUAAAGAUCUAUAAAUAUCUAUUUCGCAAUAAAGUUACACAUUGGUGCAAAUGCACCCUGAAAUUGUUCAAGAAAAGAAGUGUAACAUUAUUCACACAUUGCUGGUAAGUAAAUGUCACUAAGUAGUAUGCAUUGCUAAAGGCAAUUCACUAAUAUUCUUACACCAUAGCUUGUCCCCAAUAAUAUACAAAAAUGUCAUGAUAUUCAGUUUUCUGUUAAAAAUGGGUACAACUGGUAGGAGUGCAUCAAGACAGAAUUGCUGUAAAAUGUUCCAUGCCAAGUACA
This is a non-coding RNA of Pelobates cultripes (western spadefoot toad), 389 nucleotides long. NCBI's taxonomy places the organism in Eukaryota, Metazoa, Chordata, Amphibia, Anura, Pelobatidae. The record is from the annotation of a GenBank genome assembly.